GACGAACGCUGGCGGCGUGCCUAACACAUGCAAGUCGAACGGUGAAGCGCCUUCCUUUUUGGUGGGUGUGGAUGAGCGGCGAACGGGUGAGUAACACGUGAGUAACCUGCUCCCUUCUUCUGGAUAACCGCAUGACAGUGUGGCUAAUACGGGAUAUUUUGGGUCUGUCGCAUGAUGGGUCUGGGACAGAUAUUGUUUCGGUUGGGGAUGGGCUCGCGGCGGAUUAGCUUGUUGGUGGGGUGAUGGCCUACCAAGGCGGCGAUGGGUAGCCGGCCUGAGAGGGGGGUCGGCGGUCACAGUGGGGAUGAACCACCGCGCAGACUCCGAGAGGAAGCAGCAGUGAGGAAUAUGGCACGGUGGGCGGAAUGCUGGUGCAACGACGCCGCGGGGGUGAUGGACGCCGGCGGGUUGAGAACCGCUAUCGCGGAUGAAGCAAGCCUGCCUCGUUUAUGCAUGGGUUGACGGUAGCUGAAUAGGAAGCGCCGGCUAACUACGUG
RNAcentral lists this ribosomal RNA (497 nucleotides) under uncultured bacterium. RNAcentral's name for it is "partial 16S ribosomal RNA". It matches the Rfam family "Bacterial small subunit ribosomal RNA", at positions 28 to 507 of the family's 1533-position model. The record is from RNAcentral.